Molecule: long non-coding RNA, 1012 nt
Filed under: Nicotiana tabacum (common tobacco)
Lineage: Eukaryota; Viridiplantae; Streptophyta; Magnoliopsida; Solanales; Solanaceae
Description: long non-coding RNA (NTAB_LNC002533)
Source: RNAcentral
AAAAAAACGGAAAAAGCAGAUUUGCACAAAAAAAACGGGAAAGCAGAUUUGCACAAAAAAAAGAGAAACGAGAUCUGAAAAAGAGAAAAAAGAACGAGACCAAAAGGUCUUGAAAAAGAGAGUGACGAGCAGAAGGGAGGAAACAGAGGACACACAAAAAUGGGGAAUGCAAAACAGUGCAAUCUCCCACAAAUUCCAGCCUGAAACUAGCUUAAAAUUGUCCCUAUAUUCACUCCAAACUACCAUGAAAACCCAGCCAUAAACCCAUUAAAAAUCAAUCCAUCGACCACUGUCGAAGCUUGCAGUUCUCGCCAUGAAAUUCUGCUCCGAAUAGCCAAAAAAUGCAGCUGAAAUAACUGCAAAAACAGUCAUGAGACAGCCCUGUUUCAGUCACGAAAAAUGCAGCCAUUCCAUCACCCAAACACCUCCAUUUUCUGCUUUGAAAAUCACCAAUGUUACAUUAGUUUUCGGCCAUGGAAACACCUCUAAACUCCAGCAAUUUUCAGCACCAAACUCCAGCUCAAAUACAUAUCAAUAAUCAACUAAAAAUCACAGCCUUAAACGCCACUUCUCUUGAAGUUUUAGCCUAGCUUUGAGUUUUCCGGUGAGGUGCCUUUCGAUGUAAACGCCGUUGUUUUCGCAUUCAUCCACUUCAUAGACGAUUUGCUGUACGAGUUCCAUUAUCAAUAUAUUGGAAAGCUUGAGGUUCAUUCUUAGCCUUAUCUCCCCUCUUUUGAUGAGUUCAAGUGUCUAUAAUACUUGCCUUAACUGUAUGCUAAUAAUUUAUGUUAGAAUGGGCUCAACUUCUAUUUGAUUAAUAUAUGUGUAUACCCUGCUUACAUGAACAAAUAAAUUUAUUGCAUCGUAUAGAUUAAAAGAAAGGGGCGUAAAAGGAUCUUAAAUGGCUCGCUUGCUUUAUUGUCCAUUUGCUUAAUGCCUUGGAUGACUGUUUCAUGACUCAUCAUAUUAAACUUUUAAAGAUAUCUUCGUGUAAGUUGGUAAAAGAGUUACC